This 446-nucleotide ribosomal RNA is filed under the name uncultured bacterium. RNAcentral describes it as "partial 16S ribosomal RNA". It matches the Rfam family "Bacterial small subunit ribosomal RNA", at positions 29 to 523 of the family's 1533-position model. The record is from RNAcentral.
AACGAACGCUGGCGGCGUGCUUAACACAUGCAAGUCGAACGCACCGCAAGGUGAGUGGCGCACGGGUGAGUAACGCGUGGGAAUCUACCUUUUGGUUCGGAAUAACACAGGGAAACUGGUGCUAAAACCGGAUACGCCCUUCGGGGAAAAAUUUAUUGCCAAAAGAUGAGCCCGCGUUGGAUUAGCUAGUUGGUGAGGUAAUGGCUCACCAAGGCGACGAUCCAUAGCUGGUCUGAGAGGAUGAUCAGCCACACUGGGACUGAGACACGGCCCAGACUCCUACGGGAGGCAGCAGUGGGGAAUAUUGGACAAUGGGGGAAACCCUGAUCCAGCAACGCCGCGUGAGUGAUGAAGGUCUUCGGAUUGUAAAGCUCUUUUGGCAGGGACGAUGAUGACGGUACCUGCAGAAUAAGCUCCGGCUAACUUCGUGCCAGCCGCCGCGGUAA